AAUAAAUGAUGAAAAAUGUUUCGGUCCCAAUUGAUAUCUAAUGAUAAUACAUUGUUCUGAUAUU
Small nucleolar RNA from Monodelphis domestica (gray short-tailed opossum), 64 nucleotides. Its record names the gene SNORD73. It matches the Rfam family "Small nucleolar RNA SNORD73". Rfam says of the family: U73 is a member of the C/D class of snoRNA which contain the C (UGAUGA) and D (CUGA) box motifs. U73 is encoded within the introns of ribosomal protein S3a and contains a 12nt region of complementarity to a conserved sequence in 28S ribosomal RNA. Lineage: Eukaryota; Metazoa; Chordata; Mammalia; Didelphimorphia; Didelphidae. The record is from Ensembl.